UCCACCAAACACAAUGCAUAAGAGUUGUAAAUCAACAGUGAGGUAACUGCAUUCCAUGUCAACCAUCUGCAGUGCUGCUUUCUUACUUCCUUUACGCAUUUUAUCCAGCGACUCUAUCGCUGCGUUUGUCACCUCAGGUUAGUCUAGAGACUUAGAGAGAUGGAUACAUCACAAAAUAUGCAAUUACUCAAGCCAAAAUGGAGAUUCAUAUUUCCACUAAACAACAGAACACAAAGCAGUUGUAAUUACACGCUCUGCAACCACUAUUACCACAUUCAUUCAUGAGGUUAUCUUAUGGUAUAGA
Molecule: long non-coding RNA, 304 nt
Organism: Arabidopsis thaliana (thale cress)
Lineage: Eukaryota; Viridiplantae; Streptophyta; Magnoliopsida; Brassicales; Brassicaceae
Product: other RNA
Exons: 1
Source: RefSeq